UCACCAGUGGUACUGGUUGAGAUCUUUUGCCUAUCGUUGUUGCGGCUAUUUGAAGCUACUUGCUUAUUUUAAAGUUUAAGUUCUCGUGGUUGAGUUGCUGCCGUUGAUUUAAUACUUUCCUGUCUGAGCACCAGUGGUACUGGUUGCAGUGUUGCUUAAAAUUAUUAAUUCUCAAUUUCUAUUUUGUUACUGCUGGAAUUGCUAGUUCCGUGGCUCAAGUGCUACUUUUGAGCGUUUGACGUGGGUAAUUGACUGUCCAAUUGGUGACAUUUGUUGAGUUUCACUUGCUCGAAUUGGUUGAAUUCACUGCUUUGUUGGGGUCAUUUUUGGUAUCACUUGAGUCCUAUUUUGCUGAUUUCUGUAUUGAGUCCAUUGACGUGAUAUGUUGGAAUAUUUUGGGCUGUGACGAAGUGCUACUUUGCUUGGAAUUUCUGUUGUGCCGUUAGUAGGAUAACUGUUGGGUUUGUCUAUUGACUCUCGCGGCACCUGUGUCCCUUGUUUGGUUAUUGCCAUUGGUUGAUUUUCAUUGACUUGUUGGGAACAAUUUGCUAUUGUUGGGAGAAAUUGACCGGUGGGACAUUUGUCGAGUACUUGGGUGGACGCAUUUUGCAUUUAAUUGUCCGGUUGCGGGAUAAUAUUGUUUACUCACUUGAUUGUUGCCUUACCCUUAGGUGCGACUUCUGCUUUACUGGUUUAAUACAUUUGCUGGGACACCAGUUUCUAUUGUUGGUCGGAUUGUUAAGUGAGACACAUUGGUGGAUAUUGACUUGCUUAUUGUCCUUAUUGGUGGCUGUAGUUGUUAUUGAAUUGUCUAGGACCCCUCGACCCACAUCAUUGUUGGAGUGUUUAUGUACCAUACGGGUCUUGCACCUCAAUUUCCACCUCAACCGCCGCUGUGACCCCGUCCCUAUUUUGAUGAGUUCAGGGAAGUACCGUUGCUUCUCUCCUUCCUUCUGCUUUUACAUUAUCACAUUGAGGGCAAUGUGUGAAUUAGGUGUGGGGGGGAUCGUUGUGGUGCUAGUAUUUUUAUUUUUAGUUUCUAAAGGUUUUUCCUUUAUUUUUAGUUAGUUUUUGCCUAUCUUUCAUUUAUUUUAUUUUCUUUUUCUUUCUAGUGGUCAGUCCUUAAAUGAAUACCAAGUUUUGAUGCUGGAUUGUUGCCUCUAAUUAUGCUAUUGCCAAGUUUUAUUACUAAAAGGGUAUUAAGUUAAUGUGGUUGAGUUCAGGAAUAUCUCUUUGGUGAAUAUCGGUAAUUGCUUGACUUUUCCAAUUUUUGGUUAACUUUUCUAGGCAUAGGGAAUGAUUGUUGGCAUUUUUCAUGUGAAUUGGUCCAAUUAUUAAUUUUAGUUCUUCAUGUUUGGAAAUUUGAGGCUGGCUGCUGUUAUUUUUGGUGUUAUUUUUAGUUAUUAUACUAUAUGGUUGUAAAUAAGAGUUGACUGUACUCCGCUAGUUGUUACUACUGAGUAACCGGGGAUCUUCACCUAAAGUGUCGAUUCUCGCGUCAAAAGGUAGUAGUUACUAUGAGUGCGUGGUCCCGUAGCAAUUAGAGCUGAGUAAUCGGGCUUCUCCAUCUAUCAAAUGUUGGAGUUCGCGUCAAAAGGCUCUAAGGGCUAUAGACUAAGUCUUUUGUUUUUUUUUUUUUUAAAAAAAAAAGAAAAAAUAAAAUAAAGAUUGUGUUAGUAUGUGAAUAAGUCAGCUUGCCGGUUUGUGAUCUUAAUGUCGAGAUUUUGGUUAAUAGUUGGACCAUUUGCUGAUAAAUGUGAGCAACCAUUCCUUUUUCUUAGAUUAGUUUGCUUUAAAUUGGAGGAGUUGGUGGUUAAGAAGCUAACCGGAGUGGUUUUUUCUUGGAUCUUAACUGUGAUGCUUGAUAUAUGUUUUUCUGGGUAUCUUGGCAAUAUGAUAGUUAGAGCAAUAGCCAUUGUCAAAAUUUUGGUGUUCAAUUGCUGUUCUUAUGCUUGAGGGCAAGCAUGAUUUAGGUGUGGGGGGAAUUGAUAGGGUGUUACUUGUUGGUUAUUUUAUUAUUAAUUUUUCCCUUUAUCCGUGCCAAAUAUUGUUUUAAUUAUUAAUAUUUACUUAUAUUUGGUAUUGGACUCAAUUUCAGGAAGUGAAACAGAAAACUA
Molecule: long non-coding RNA, 2117 nt
Filed under: Coffea arabica (coffee)
Lineage: Eukaryota; Viridiplantae; Streptophyta; Magnoliopsida; Gentianales; Rubiaceae
Description: long non-coding RNA (CARA_LNC006471)
Source: RNAcentral